CCAGUCGGCCGGGCAGUCGCGUCCCCGAGGAAUCGGGGUCGAGGAAAGUCCGGGCUCCAUCCGGCACGGUGGUGGGUAACGCCCACCCGGAGCGAUCCGCGGGACAGUGCCACAGAAAGUAGACCGCCGCGGCCGCCUAUGUGGCAGCGGUAAGGGUGAAAGGGUGGUGUAAGAGACCACCGCGGCUCCGGUGACGGAGCCGGCACGGUAAACCCCACCGGGAGCAAGGUCAGACAGGGGACGUGUGAGGGCGCCGGCCCGAGUCCCCGGGUGGACCGCUGGAGGUCGUCGGCAACGGCGAUCCGAGAUGGAUGACUGCCGAUCACAGAACCCGGCUUACAGGCCGACUGGUCCC
This 355-nucleotide RNase P RNA is filed under the name Brachybacterium sp. Its description in RNAcentral is "RNase P RNA component class A". It matches the Rfam family "Bacterial RNase P class A". From Rfam's summary of the family: Ribonuclease P (RNase P) is a ubiquitous endoribonuclease, found in archaea, bacteria and eukarya as well as chloroplasts and mitochondria. The record is from RNAcentral. Lineage: Bacteria; Bacillati; Actinomycetota; Actinomycetes; Micrococcales; Dermabacteraceae.